CUCUUUGCAACGAUAAAGUGAAAAAAAGAAAGAGUAAGGCUCUAUAGAAAAUAAAUACAACAUAGAGAUGGAAGGUAAAUGAUUCUGAAUGAGGUUUAUCUACACUGGCAGUCAUACCCAGGGGAGCAAAGAGCUCCCCAGAAACCUGACUCCAUCAUGGUUGAUCUUCCCACGGAGCUUCGAACAAAAUGAUGUUUUUCAGGUUCCCCAAGGCUUCUCCUGGAGGUUUCACUGAGAAGGAUGGCCCCAGUUCUCCUCUGACUCAUAGGGCUGAGGGCCCCUGGCCCAGCUCUCUCUGUUUCUUCUAGGGCUUUUCACACUCCUGCCCAAGCUCCAAGCCACAGUUUCAGCAGGGAGCCUCCUUCCCUCCCUCUCCCGCCCCCAGGUUUCAGCUCCAGUCAGUUGUUCCCUCUCAGUGGAAGGUCCGGGGGUGAGGUGUGGGGAAACCUUGGGGUUUCCUCUCUUUGCUAGAGCAGAGCUUCUUUAGGUAUCUGAGCUCCUCCUGUGGCUGCUCCACUUGGGAAACCAGACGGGCUUUUCCUUCUGUUUGCUCUUACAGCAGCAGGGAUUCACCUGUGAGAUCUGGGGUGUUGGGGAGAGCUAGAAUGAUGGCUCCCGGGGCACAGGAGCCCUCCCCAGCUCAAUCUUCUCCUUGUCUUCAUUGGGCUCUCAUUAACUGGGAGAUGUAGGAGAUGACUUUCUGGUAAAAGGGACGGAAGAGGGGAAUAUUUAAAAAUGAAGAUGAUACAAAGGAUAGAUCAAUAAAGAUUUCAAAAGUCUGUUGACUUUCUGAAUCGAUCUGGUUGUUUGGCUGGAAGAGUUGCUGUUUGCUCAGCAAGAACAUGGCAUCAGAUACUGAAACAGAUACAGAGGUUAUUUUCAAACUGCAUGUAGACCCCCAAAUGGAACAUCUUCUUUUUCAAUGGAACCCCUUCUAAAACCCGCUCGACAAACUGAGUUUCACUUUUAGCAAGCUUCUGGCCCUGGGUGAAGGCAGAAACUAGCAGCCAUUAGGGCCCCCUCAGUACAAAUCCUGCUCAAAGGUAAGAUUAUUUGUUGUCUACAUCUCUCCUUCCUUCCUUCCCCAAUUUCCAUGAUUACUUAAUGUCUUUGCCUUCCAUCUCUUCUUUUCCCAUGAUCUUUCUCUUUCUCUCCUCCUAAAUCCUUCCCUUUUUUCAUCUUAACAUUUUUAAGGGCCUAUUAUGUGCCAGAUACCGUAUAAGGCAUUGGAGCAUUAAGACAAAGAUAACACACAGUCUCUGUUCUCUCAAAGUUGACAUUCUACUGAAGCACAGAUGCAAAAUCCUUAAAAGUUAGGUCUUUUUCCUGCAUAUAAUCUAGGCAGCAUCCUGUAAGCAGUCAAUGUUUACCGUGAUGGGACAUUUGGUUCAAGAGGCCCAAUUUUCCCUUUUUCAAUUUGCCAUCAAAGACAAACGGAUGAAUGAACAAACAAAUAAAGGCUUCCCUCCAGGGUACAUAUGUGAAGAUUCCUUCAUGGCGAGUUGAUUCAGAUGACCCCAGAGGUCCCUCCCCACAAUAUGGAAAGGUUGGGCUAAAUGACAUUUAAGGUACUUUUUAACUCAGGAGCCAUAAUCCUAAACCUCCCCUAGACUCAUUCAAUUAUUCCCCAAUGGGCUACACUCUUCUGGGCUUCUCCAAUGCCUUUUCUCUCCAGUCCCUACCCCAGCCACCUGUUUUUCUGCUUCCUUUUACAGCUUGUCUUCCCCAUUAGAAUGUAACCUCCUUGAGACUUAAAAGAACUGAUGCUGAGUGAAAUGAGCAGAACCAGGAGAUCAUUGUGCACGGCAACAGCAAGAUUGUACGAUGAUCAGUUCUGAUGGACGGGGAUCUCUUCAACAGGGAGAUGGAUCCAGGCCAGUUCCAAUGAUCUUGGGAGGAAGAGCCAUCUACGCCCAGAGGACUGUGGGAACUGAGUGUGGGUCACAGCGUAGCAUUUUCACCCUUUUUGUUGUUUGCUCGCGUUUUAUUUUCUUUCUCAUUUUUUUUUUCUUUUUGAUCUGAUUUUUCUUGUGCAGCAAGAUAAUCCUAUAAACAUGUGUGCAUAUAUUGGAUUUAACAUCUAUCUCUACCCUGUUUAACAUAUAUCGGACUACUUGCCAUCUAGGGGAGGGGGCGGGAGAAGGGGGGGAAUUGGAACACAGGGUUUUGUGAGCGCUAAUGUUGAAGAAUUGUUCACGCAUGUUUUGAAAAAUAAAAAGCUUUAAUAAAAA
Molecule: long non-coding RNA, 2231 nt
Organism: Antechinus flavipes (yellow-footed antechinus)
Lineage: Eukaryota; Metazoa; Chordata; Mammalia; Dasyuromorphia; Dasyuridae
Exons: 2
Source: RefSeq, a predicted model, not a curated record